This is a long non-coding RNA of Amphibalanus amphitrite, 1904 nucleotides long. RefSeq lists it as uncharacterized. The transcript is spliced from 3 exons. The record is from RefSeq and is a predicted model, not a curated record. Lineage: Eukaryota; Metazoa; Arthropoda; Thecostraca; Balanomorpha; Balanidae.
GCCAUCUACCACCCAAAUUAAUUGUCUAUCCAUGCAAAUUCAUUUUCUUUGUAAAAUGGGGAGGAGAAAAUUGGUCUAGACAUUGGAGAUGAGAGUGAAAAAUGGUUUCUAUUUGGAUCUGGUCCCGUAGCUCAGUUGAUAGUGUUGGACGAAGCGCGACGGGCGCUCGACAUGUAUGGGCCUCCUGACAGCACCCGAGCUCUUCAGAGCCUGAGUCUUUGGCACAAGCCUCCAAAUUAUACCAGACACUAGCACAUAUCACAGAGAAUGGCCUACAGGAGAUCGUGGCACUCUUCCCCAUAACAAGAAGAUGAAGAUGAAAUGGAGAUGAUACCAGACUCUCAGACUGUAUUCUGACGCUAGCAUCCAACUGUCAACUUCAGUGGAGGUCUCUGAAGCUUUUAUCCACUAGGUAUCAACAAAAUUCAACCUGAUAUCACCAGUUUUCAAGUGUUGCAAGAGCCGAUCACCAUUCUACAAGUGUCACCAAGAGUCUACCACCAGUUGCCACACAUUACCAAGCUCUCCAACCCCCCCCCCCCCCCAUCCCACAAUGGAUGACCUCGACACCCUACUCGCUGAAGCUGACGCCCUCCUCAGCGACUUACCCUCAACCACUGCUUCCCCCACGCCAGUUCCCGGCCCUAGCCGCACCCAGCGUUGCGUGCGUGUCUUCCUCUCACCCCCUUCCUCCACUCUCGGCAGAAACACAACCUUAGAACCUACCCGAGGUUGUUCAUUCCUCCGCUGUACCGCCUGUGACAUGAAAAUUCUCUCAUUUGACGACAGCACAUGGGGUUCGCAGGCCGAGUACCUCUUCUUCAGGAACCGCCAUCCGGAUGUGACGAGGCUGAGAGAGGGAUUGGAGGAGAGGAAGGGAGCGAGAGCGUACUGCUGCCAGUGUCAGUGGGUUAUGGUGGAGAGAGUGACGGAGCCACCGAGGGUGUGGGUGUGUGGAAAACACUGAGGGUGGAGAGGUGUGGAAUACUUGGAUGAGGACUGGAAACGGCUGAUGACUGAAAGACAGACAGCUUGGGACUGGAAAAGAGUGAGUUGAGGGCUUGAAAACAGUGAGAUGUGGACUAGAAAACAGUGAGCUGAUACCCGAAAAAAGUGAGCUUUUGACUAGAAAAUAGCUGAUAACUGGAAGACAGUGAGCUUGGGAUUGGAAAAGAGUGAGGUGAUGGCUUGAAAACAGUUAGCUUGGAAUGGAACUGGAAAACAGCAGAGGCCUAAAAGACAGCUUUGGAGUGGAAAACAGCUUGGAACUAAAACAGCUGAGUCCUAGAAGAAUGUAGGUACGAAAGACAGUGAGCUUGAGCCCAUGAAGUACUCAUUUAAUGGUGAAAAGACACCAGAAUGAUGUCUGAAAAUCAUUGACAGAGGCAUGGGAAAAACACUUAGUGUGGAUGGAGGACAUUGAAUGAGGUCCUGGAAAUCCCUGGAUGGGACCUAAAGAGUAGUGACUAAUGCUCAUGAUAACAGUGGUAUGACGUGUGUGAUGUCGAAGACCCGGGAAGGACUCGCCAAGGCCACGAAAUAGCCAGAUUUUUGCCAGAAAUCGCUCUGAUAAUUUGUUUCUCAACGAGUAUCAGCUACUGGAAGGAGCCGCACUGACCAAGGCCGCACUGACAUGAAAGUCAGUAGCUUACAACUUUUCAAAACUUAGUGUAAAGCACGUGCUAUUUGUUGCCGGGUACAUUAUCUGAAGACAAGAACGCGUACCUGACGCCUGAUAACUACUGUGCGCCGACCAAGGAGGAAACGAUUUUAGGACUAAAGUACGUAUCGCUAAAGUACGUAGGACAAAACGAUACGUACUUUUGUCCGUAACCCGGAGGAAACUGGCCUAAGCCCAUGGGUGGUUCAACGGCAGGUAGCGACACCAACAGCGGAGAGCAAAA